This 170-nucleotide microRNA precursor is filed under the name Oryza brachyantha (malo sina). RNAcentral's name for it is "MIR812 microRNA precursor family". It matches the Rfam family "MIR812 microRNA precursor family", at positions 27 to 196 of the family's 205-position model. Lineage: Eukaryota; Viridiplantae; Streptophyta; Magnoliopsida; Poales; Poaceae. The record is from Rfam by way of RNAcentral.
UAUAAUGUUUGGCUCUUCGUUUUAUUUAAAAAGUUUACGAUUAUAAUUUUAUUUUUAUUAGAUAAUAAAACACGAAUAGUAUUUUAUAUAUGACUAAUUUUUCUUUAAAAUUUCUAGAAUUUUUUCAAAUAAGACGAAUGGUCAAACGCUUGACACAGAAACCAAAAGGU